Molecule: long non-coding RNA, 1806 nt
Organism: Lemur catta (Ring-tailed lemur)
Lineage: Eukaryota; Metazoa; Chordata; Mammalia; Primates; Lemuridae
Exons: 4
Source: RefSeq, a predicted model, not a curated record
GUUCGCCGCCGCCGCUGCGCACCCAGCCCCAGGGGGGCGGGCUGGAGGGAGGGGGCGGGCGCCGGGCGCCGGCCCGGGGACCACCGCAGCCAUGGCGCGGCAGGGAGGGGGCUGCCGACCCGCUUCACCUGCCGCAGAAGGGGCGGCCGGCGCCGCUUCACCUGCCGGAGAGGGAGGCGACCUAGGCGAGGCCGAGGCGGCGGCGCGCUCGGCGGCGCCUCCGGGUCCUAGAACCGCACUCUCCCCAUCGCCUGGGGCGGAGGAUUGGCGGGGUGUGAGUGAAGGGGGUAGCGACCCGGGCCGGAGGGGCAACCCUCAGAGUGGAAGAUUGUCAGGAACUGCGAGCGCGGCUUGGAGACCCAUGGCGGUGCGGCGUUGGGGCAUAAGGGCUGCGUCCCCCUCUCGGGUCCCCGCCUGAGAAGGUGGGAACCCCCUUCCAGGCCCCCCACUUCUUGUUUCUCUGCUCCUCUGUUUAGCCCAGAGACGCGCUGAGGAUCAGAGGGAUACAUCUGCAAACAGGAACCCCAAAACAGGGUGGGAGGCGCGGACCCAAGCCAACGAGACCCACAUCACCUGGCCCAUCUCGACCAACUGUGCGCAUGUGCCGGCAUCCCAGUGGUUGUAGAAUGGGGGCACCCAUGGAAAAGGGCAGGCUGCGAGAAGCUGGGACCACCAGGCAAUCCCAAGGAGAAGCAGGGGGUUGAGGACGGGAGGAUUAAAGCCAGCCGCAAGGCUGGGAAAGGAGCAGGCACCGCAGAGGAGGGAAAAGAAAUCUCUUUGCCUGUGUAACCACCAGGGACCUAGGGUGGCCUCUCACCUUGGAGAAUAACAAUCUCUGAUGUCUGCUAAUAACAGAAAUGCUUUUUGCUCUGCUUUGAUUCAUCCUGACAAUGACCAGGGAAGAACCAUUGACAGGAGUUGAAUCGAGAGCUGGAAGUUAACUACCUCAUCUUGAAGAAGACCCCGAGAGAAGCCAGCCCCUGACCCCAGGCUGACCUGAUUUAAGCCUUUCUUCUGCCAAGGUCACCAGCAACCCAGCACCAACCCAGUACCUGGCACUCAUCAAAUGUUUGGUGAAUGAAAGAUCACUCCAUCACUUGGCCCCAUGCGGAAUGCGGCCUCUGAGAAAAGCACUUCUCACCACUCAAAACCCACCGAAGCGUGCCCAGCCCUGAGAGGGGCUUCUAAGAACGCCAAGCCAGCUGCCUCUGCAGCAUAAGCAGAGUUAACCACAUAAUGAGCAGGCUGAAGCGGAUUCAUAGGCUUUGAGGAUUGUUUUUGAGGAAGAGAAAUAGGUCCUACUUCCGUGGGAGGCUGAUUAUUCGUUUAACUCCAAUCAGAGCUGAUGGUUUGAAGCGUUGUGAAUGAUGCUGGCGGUGGCUGAGGCUGUGAGAAGCCCAUCUGGCCAUCACAUCAUCGCACACCUGUCUGCACAGCAGAUCUCUCACCCGUGCUGAUUCGCAUUAGAGCAAGGUCUCUACUGAGCACCACUGAUGAAGGCAGAGGUGUUACUAUCCUGAAUGGUGAUAAAAUGACGCAUCUCAUCACAAACGCCUUCUUUCAGACUUUUCAUUCAGACUGUCCUCAUGCAACCAGCCACUUCCCCAUCAGGUGGGCUGAAAUCAAUUAAACAAUUACUCAUUUAUCAAUAUAAUAUUUAAUAAAAAGCCAUUUGUGCCAGCCACUGUGUUAGACACCAGGGUGACAAAGAUGACAAAGAAGGUCCCCACCCUCAGGAUCUCGGAGUCAAGCUAACAGAUCAUUAGGAUUCUUUGUGAUUAGGACAAUGAUAGGGGGAAAAUAGAA